GUCGCAUUGGCGCAAUGGUAGCGCGCAAGACUUCUAACAAGGAAUUAUCUUGAGGCUGUGGGUUCGAGCCCCACAUGCGAUG
This 82-nucleotide transfer RNA is filed under the name Blumeria hordei DH14. RNAcentral describes it as "tRNA-Arg for anticodon UCU". It matches the Rfam family "tRNA". Rfam says of the family: Transfer RNA (tRNA) molecules are approximately 80 nucleotides in length. Their secondary structure includes four short double-helical elements and three loops (D, anti-codon, and T loops). Further hydrogen bonds mediate the characteristic L-shaped molecular structure. tRNAs have two regions of fundamental functional importance: the anti-codon, which is responsible for specific mRNA codon recognition, and the 3' end, to which the tRNAs corresponding amino acid is attached (by aminoacyl-tRNA synthetases). tRNAs cope with the degeneracy of the genetic code in two manners: having more than one tRNA (with a specific anti-codon) for a particular amino acid; and 'wobble' base-pairing, i.e. permitting non-standard base-pairing at the 3rd anti-codon position. Lineage: Eukaryota; Fungi; Ascomycota; Leotiomycetes; Helotiales; Erysiphaceae. The record is from Rfam by way of RNAcentral.